CCCGCAAAUCUCCUCUUGUUUUUCUCUUUCCUGACCGACGGUGACCCCCUCUCGGUGCCUCCUCCUGACCGACGGUGACCCCCUUCCGGUGCAUCCUUCCCAACGUUCUCCACUCUCCACGCAUUCUCCUUCCCGACGUCUUAACCCCAUCGGUGCCUCCUACGCCAUGGUCCCAAGCAUGCCGCCUUAGCACCAUGUUGCCCGCGGCCACCCCGACCCCACCGGUGC
This 228-nucleotide long non-coding RNA is filed under the name Elaeis guineensis (African oil palm). RNAcentral describes it as "long non-coding RNA (EGUI_LNC048224)". The record is from RNAcentral. Lineage: Eukaryota; Viridiplantae; Streptophyta; Magnoliopsida; Arecales; Arecaceae.